This is a long non-coding RNA of Macrobrachium nipponense, 1851 nucleotides long. RefSeq lists it as uncharacterized. Lineage: Eukaryota; Metazoa; Arthropoda; Malacostraca; Decapoda; Palaemonidae. The transcript is spliced from 5 exons. The record is from RefSeq and is a predicted model, not a curated record.
CUACAUAAAACGUAGAUCGAAGAGACCGGGACAAGUCUUCGGAGAACCGUCUUGGCUCUCGGUACUUCGUUGGUUCCGACUGAUUGCAGACUUUGCUUCUACUCUUUUUCUCUUGGAACAUCCAGAAUGGGUAGCUGUCGACUUUUGAUGUUGGCAAUGAUGGUGUGUUCCGUGUUUUCUUCCACCCAAGUCCACUACCGAACAGCUCGACAAACAUCUUCGGAAAUAUGCCACAACUGGUGUGGCGAACCUCCUAAUCUGGAGUGCUGUGAUCCGGUGACUCGUUGUGACCAUUGGUGUGGUAUCCCUCCCGAUCUCUAUUGCUGUGACGCCGCCAUAGGGAAGUGACCCGUUAACAGCCAAAUUCCCGUAGCAGACUGAAGCCUUUUGGCCUCCUCCAGUACUGGAUGCAUUUCUACAUAGGACCAAAACUCAAGAGAAAUGCAAUUUGAAAAAAUAUAAAUAUUUGUAAUUUCAGCCUGUGAAUUGUACGCGUAUGCAAUAAAGGACACACGGAUAGCAAAUCUGUUGAUGUGGGUACGUUGUUUGCUCGGGAAAUUUGGGCUAUAAAGUGAAACGUCGUCACCAAAAGAUCAAAUAAUUGAAUAAAAGUUAAUUUUAUCAUGAGAAGGAAAAAACUUGCUGUUACAUAAGAUGGUGUCAUUAACCUGUCUGAUUCAUAUCUUCUAAGUGGCAUUGAUUCAGUAAUAAGAUGCAUUUACUACAACCUGGUAAUCUCCUUUAAGGAAAUAAGAACAGAAUGUGGUAGACAUUUAGGGAAGUAAGCGCCACUGAAAAGUCUUUACCAUCACAAAGAUCUUUUGCAAAAGAGGUUUGCUUACCAAUCAAGACGCAUCAAGUGGAUGCGAAAGCAGUGGUCAUUCAGCGCUGAAAAGGAAAUUGAAAGUAAAAGGUUUGAAAGGUGUAACAGGAGGAAAACCUCGCAGUUGCACUAUGAAUCAAUUGUUAGGAGAGGGUGGAAAGUAAGAUAGAAGAAAGAAUAUGAAUGGAGGUACAGUAAAAGGAAAGAAGGGGGUUGCAGCUGGGGGCCGAAGGCAUACUGCAAAGAACCUUAAGUAAUGCCCAUUCAUGAGGUGCAUUGAUGGCACUACCUCCCUACGGGAGAUAAUCUUAUUCAUUACGUUUUAACAUUGGAGUCAUUUGAUGUAGCUUUCUGGAAUUAGAAAUUAUACAUGAAUUCUGAUAGAAAGGAAUGACAUUUUUAUGGUCAUUGUCAAGUUAUUGGAUUCCAAGCAAUGUAAAUUUUAAGAGGUUAUUGUAGCUCAUAUCCAAAAAAGAACGUGUUUGAAUACCAUUUUACUAAAAGGUUCUUUCAACUAAUCGGCUAAUUACAUUAAAUUUGGACAACUUUCAAGUUAAGGUUAGACUUUGGUUUAAAGAAUGUAUUUCCAAUUUACCAGUGACAUCCUUUUUUUAACCUCUCCUGUAACCCUCUGUUCUUCAGCCAGCCGUUGUUCAAAAUCUUGAUUAAGUAGUCCACCAUUAUGUUAUUAUGGUUGUAAUGAAAGGAGACAUUUAUUGUCUUUAUAAAUGGAAAAAUAAAUUAUUUCUUAUUUUUGUUAGGCCAUGUAUUUUUUUUAUUCUAACACACGAUUUAUGAUAAUAUAAGAAAAAAGAAAUGUUUGGUUUAAUUUUUACCCAAGAAGGAACCUAUAUCCAUAUAUGCAAAUAAAAAUUGUGAUAAAAGGUAGAAAUAUAUUAAUAUAAAAGGAAUAAUAAAGUUACCUUUAUGCUUAUGCUUUUUCUUGUGAGUGAAUGCAAAUAAACACUUUUUCUUUUCUGUAUCCUACGCAUACAUGACGCAGUACAAUUACUGUUUCACCCAAGACA